CCUACGGGCGGCAGCAGUAGGGAAUCUUCGGCAAUGGGGGCAACCCUGACCGAGCAACGCCGCGUGAGUGAAGAAGGUUUUCGGAUCGUAAAACUCUGUUGUUAGAGAAGAACGUUAAGUAGAGUGGAAAAUUACUUAAGUGACGGUAUCUAACCAGAAGGGACGGGUUACUAAGUUGCCAGCAGCGCGGGAAAACCGUAGUUCCAAAGUGUGUCCGGAUUUAUUGGGCGUAAAGCGAGCGCAGGUGGUUUCUUAAGUCUGAUGUAAAAGGCAGUGGCUCAACCAUUGUGUGCAUUGGAAACUGGGAGACUUGAGUGCAGGAGAGGAGAGUGGAAUUCCAUGUGUAGCGGUGAAAUGCGUAGAUAUAUGGAGGAACACCGGAGGCGAAAGCGGCUCUCUGGCCUGUAGCUGACACUGAGGCUCGAAAGCGUGGGGAGCAAACAGGAUUAGAUACCCUGGUAGUC
RNAcentral lists this ribosomal RNA (464 nucleotides) under uncultured Lactococcus sp. Its description in RNAcentral is "bacterial SSU rRNA". It matches the Rfam family "Bacterial small subunit ribosomal RNA", at positions 338 to 795 of the family's 1533-position model. Lineage: Bacteria; Bacillati; Bacillota; Bacilli; Lactobacillales; Streptococcaceae. The record is from RNAcentral.